GGGCCCGUGGCUCAGCCUGGUAGAGCGGCGGCCUUCGGAGCCGUAGGUCGUGGGUUCAAAUCCCACCGGGCCCGCCA
This 77-nucleotide transfer RNA is filed under the name Pyrobaculum aerophilum. RNAcentral describes it as "tRNA-Arg". It matches the Rfam family "tRNA". From Rfam's summary of the family: Transfer RNA (tRNA) molecules are approximately 80 nucleotides in length. Lineage: Archaea; Thermoproteati; Thermoproteota; Thermoprotei; Thermoproteales; Thermoproteaceae. The record is from RNAcentral. RNAcentral also lists the same sequence under 5 other names.